UACGUAGGGUGCGAGCGUUAAUCGGAAUUACUGGGCGUAAAGCGUGCGCAGGCGGUUCGUUAAGUCAGAUGUGAAAGCCCCGGGCUCAACCUGGGAACUGCAUUUGAAACUGGCGGGCUUGAGUGUGGCAGAGGGGGGUGGAAUUCCACGUGUAGCAGUGAAAUGCGUAGAGAUGUGGAGGAACACCGAUGGCGAAGGCAGCCCCCUGGGUCAACACUGACGCUCAGGCACGAAAGCGUGGGGAGCAAACAGG
This 253-nucleotide ribosomal RNA is filed under the name uncultured bacterium. Its description in RNAcentral is "partial 16S ribosomal RNA". It matches the Rfam family "Bacterial small subunit ribosomal RNA", at positions 524 to 776 of the family's 1533-position model. The record is from RNAcentral.